This 894-nucleotide small RNA is filed under the name Ixodes scapularis (black-legged tick). RNAcentral describes it as "uncharacterized LOC115331620". The record is from RNAcentral. Lineage: Eukaryota; Metazoa; Arthropoda; Arachnida; Ixodida; Ixodidae.
AUGCGAAAUGGACUUUCAAAGAAAAUUAAACUUUUAAAUUGUAAUGGGACGCCCUCAACAGACGAAGACGACAUUAUGAAAACAUUACACAUCUUUUUAAAACAAAUAAUAACUCGUUUUCUAUUCUUCAGAACAACAUCACAUCACUUCCUUCGUACUUACCUACAGGCAGAACUCUCAGAUGCUUUACCUUAUUUGGUGGUUUCAUCGGUAUCGGCGGGAACAUCACGUCCCUUGGGAUUCCUCAGAGAAGUAGUAAGCGCAAUAGAGUAUCUAAGAGCCCGUUUUUCUUUGGAAUACUUAUUUACAAUAUCACGCAAAGCAUUAUAUGCCGAUCUUCUUGACAUAACUUUUCCUGUACCUUUGUAUCGAAGUAUAUUCAACCAUGGACCAGGACAAGAUGUUCUUACGCGUGUCCGAAAAUUGCGCGUCUCACCUACCGCGAAGUCAUUUUUCUUUAAACUUCACACUUCAACGUUGCCUGUGAAACCCUGGCUUCGCGAACGAGGAAUUUUUGUACCCUGGUCAGUGAAUCGCCGUCUUUGUAACCAACCAGAAACUAUAGAGCAUUGUUUUAUUUUCUGCACUGAUGCCUACCUCUUCUGGGACGUCCUUCAGAGAACACUGAAAAAAGAUUUGGACGUCAACGCAUACACAAUCCGGUUUUUAACUUUAAAACCCAACGAUAGUUUUCCUUAUGAUUUGUUCACGCUCAUGGGUUUGCAUAGUCUCUGGAAGACGAGAAUGAUCGACAGAAACGCCGAUCCACCCCGGACUACAAAAUAAAACUUUAUAGAAACUGUAUCUCACGUGAGAAAUGUGUUAGAUCAUCUUAAGGAACGCCCAGACUGGUAUGCUCUCAUUGAUCGAUGUCUCCAUCUUCCUGAUUUUUAG